Molecule: ribosomal RNA, 253 nt
Filed under: uncultured bacterium
Lineage: Bacteria
Description: partial 16S ribosomal RNA
Rfam family: Bacterial small subunit ribosomal RNA
Source: RNAcentral
UACGAAGGGGGCGAGCGUUGUUCGGAAUCACUGGGCGUAAAGCGUACGCAGGCGGAUCGAUAAGUCGGGGGUGAAAGCCCGGGGCUCAACCUGGGAAUUGCCAUCGAUACUGUCGAGCUUGAGUCCGGGAGAGGUAAGUGGAAUUCCUAGUGUAGAGGUGAAAUUCGUAGAUAUUAGGAAGAACACCAGUUGCGAAGGCGGCUCACUGGCCCGGUACUGACGCUCAGGUUCGAAAGCGUGGGGAGCAAACAGG